GGUGCGCAGAAGACGGCUACUUCCGCUUUCAACGGGGAGACGCGGGUUCGAAUCCCGUCAUCG
RNAcentral lists this transfer RNA (63 nucleotides) under Actinoplanes friuliensis DSM 7358. RNAcentral describes it as "tRNA-Und (NNN) (tRNA-Und-NNN-5-1)". Lineage: Bacteria; Bacillati; Actinomycetota; Actinomycetes; Micromonosporales; Micromonosporaceae. The record is from RNAcentral.